Molecule: long non-coding RNA, 4537 nt
Filed under: Homo sapiens (human)
Lineage: Eukaryota; Metazoa; Chordata; Mammalia; Primates; Hominidae
Description: HSALNT0169082
Source: RNAcentral
CCACCGUGCCUGACCAUAUUCGUGUAAUUUUAUUAAACUAUGAGGAGACCACAUAGCUGAUUUGAAGUACUAUGAGUCAGUGUUGAACAUGGUAUCCUGCUCCUGAGUCUGGCCUGCAUGUAGUGUGACAAUCUGCAUCCUUUGUAUGUUGUGUGGUUUCAUGGUCCACUGUGGAGCUCAGAGUAUAGAGUUCUUCAGUAUAUCUCUUAAAAUCUAUCGUUUGAAUAACACUUUGUUGAGAUAUAAUUCACAUAUAAAAUUUUUGAAGUGAUUGAAUAUACUUACAAUAUGAGGAGCAGACAAUGUAGGUGUCCUGCCCAUACCUCCUAUCCGACACCUUUACCAUUUUUGUGGACAAUGGCUCCUGAUAAAGGCUUUCUACUCCCAGCUGCUAGAACCCUGCAGUGAUUAACCAAUGACUGAAGUUUACAGGGUGAGGUGGAGUAUAACUAUUCCAGCUCCCUUCUCUGCUGACUGGAACAACACUGUCCUCCACUGUUUCCAGAGCUUCUCUGUGGAACCAAGCCAUAGGUUCACCUCCAUGGGACUUCACUAAUAUUGCAGCCUGACUUGUCUUCCUUCCCUUUCCGGUCCCAUUUUCCAUUUCCUAACUGUUUUUCCGGAACACUUUCUAGUUAAUCACUGUCAUGAAAGACCCUUGUCUCUGGGCAUGCUUGUGGGGAGUCCAACCUACUACGACACAUGGCUCAUGGCCAUUGUUUCUCUGUGUGAUCCAAAGAAAACCCGCAUCCCAAUCUCACGCUGGAUUUGUUCAAUACGGAUUCCUGAGUCUCAUCCAAACCCAAUGAGUCAGAAUGUCUAGGAUUGGGGCACAGAGAUCUGCAUUUUGAACAAAGCUGAUCCCCCAUCCCAAGAUUCUUCUGCACCCUGGAGUGUGGGAACUGUGGUUCUAGUCAGUACACUUGAUGUCAAGAUGUUGCAAAUGCCCUUGUCUAGAUGAAGACUUUACCGUACUACAUUAAGGGUCUGCAAGAGAAAACCCAGCCAAGGAUUCUCAGAACAACCCGAGCAACUUUCCUAUCCUGUCUCUCCUGAUGAAGGCUCCUGCUGCUUCUUAUGAGAGCACACUUACCCAUUGAUCCUCCUAUCAUCAAUAAGAAUCCGUUGAGAACAUCUUCCAGUACAGAGAGGAACCAACAUCUGGUUAAUUCAAACACAACCCCUGGGAUCAGGAGCACACACAACCAGGAAAUUCUGAAGGUGAGCAAUGAAUGAGCCAGGGCUUGUUUUUCAUAAAUGUUUAUAAAAUCUAUAGUGAUAUCACCUCUUUCAAUCCUGAUUUUGGUAAUUUGUAUUUUCUUUGUUUUCUCAAUCAGUGUGGAUAGGUAUUGUGUCAACAUGCUAAAGCAAAAACUACCUUUCUCAGAAUUCCCUUCUCUGUUUGGUUCUGAGUCAGGGUUGUCCCCAAGAGAAAUUUAUGUGAGAUGUGCAAGACAGUGUGAAAGGAAAAUAUCUUGGGGCCCCCAAAUCACUAAGUUGAAGGGAAAAAUCAAGCUGAGAACUGCUUAGGGCAAUCCUGCCUCCCAUUCUAUUCAAAGUCACCCCUCUGCUCACUGAGAUAAAUAUGUAUCUGAUUGCCUCCUUUGGAGAGGCUAAUCAGAAACUCAAAAGAUUGCAACCAUUUCUUUCUUAUUGACCUAUGGCCUAGAAACCCCCUCUCCACUUGGACUUGUCCCACCUUUCCAGACAGAACCAAUGUUCAUCUUACAUAUGUUGAUUGAUGUCUCAUGUCUCCCUAAAAUGUAUAAAACCAAACUGUGCUCUGACCACCUUGGGCACAUGUUGUCAGGACCUCCUGAGGCUGUGUCAUGGGCAUGUGUCCUCAACCUUGGCAAAAUAAACUUUCAAAAUUAACUGAGACCUCUUUCAGAUAUUUGGGGUUCACAGUAGAAUAAAGUGGCAGCCAGUGGAUGUAUGGGAAGGCGUGGCUGAGCUCCUGCACAUUGCUGGUUCUUUGGUGGUUCAUCAUAUAUGUGGGGGCAAGAGCCAGGUCUACAGCUCCCCUCAUUUCUGGGCUUCUGCCUCCAGCUUUUCUCAACCCUGGUUGAGCCACCUAUGCAGCUGUACAACAAGAGCACCAGCAGCUCACUUGAGACAUUGAAGUUGGACGCUCAGAGGCAGUGAAAGGCCUAUGCACGUUCCAGCUUGUGCCCCUGAAUCCUAGUGGGUCCUCCGAGGCUCCAGUUUAUCCUGGAUUUCUCCCACUUCUAGUCCAGGUUUUGUUCCUGACUGGUGGCUCUAUAGGCUUUGGACACCAAAGCACUUGUUUCACAUAGACUGUUUAACCAGUUACCCCUGUCAACGUAGGAGUCAAAUGCUAUAAACUAUUUAAGGAGGUUUAUUCUGAGCCAAAUAUGAGUGACCAAGGCUUGUGACACAGCCCCAGGAGGUCCUGAAAACAUGUCCCCAAAGUGGUUGUUUUACAGUUUGAUUUUAAACAUUUUAGAGGGACAGAAGUUACAGACAGACAUCAAUCAAUACAUAUAAGGUGUUCAUUAGUUUGGAAAGGCAGGCAACUCAAAGUGGGAGGGCUUUCGGGUCAUAGGUGGAUUCAAAGAUUUUCUGAUUGGCAAUUGGUUAUCUGAAGACCUGGAAUCAAUAGAAAGGAGUGUUUGGGUUAAGAUAAAGGACUGUGGAAAACAGGGUUCUUAUGUAGAUGAAGUCUCCUAGGUGGCCGCCCUUAGAGGCAAUAGAUGGCAAGUGUUUUCUAUUCAGACCCUCAAAAGGUGCUAGACUCUCAGCCAACCUCUUCAGGAUCAGAAAAAGACCUGGAAAGAACAGGGGAUUCUCUAUAGAAUGUAAAUUUCCCCCACAAGAGACAGCUUUGCAAGACCAUUUCAAAAUAUAUCAAAUAAGUAUAUUUUGGGACAAAAGACUGAUUUCUUUCAGGGCCUGCUACUUGUCAUGCAAUACUAUACUAGAGUCAGGUUGGAAUUUGGUAUCUUAUUGCUACAAACAGUUUGUUCUCUCAGUCUUAGAAUCUCUGUUUUAAUGUUAAUGCUGAUCAGUUGUGCCUGAAUUCCACAGGGAAGAGGUUACAAUGAGGCAUGUCUGACCCCCACUCCUUUCCAUCCUUGCAUUAAAUAGUUUUUCGGGUUUGCUUUGGAAUGCCCUUGGCCAAGAGGAACAUCCAUCAGUUGGCUGAGAGGCUUAGAGUUUUAUUUCUGGUUUACAGCACAAUUGCAUGAGGUCAGAUUCCUACCAUAUUCUGUAUCACUCAUAUUGGCUCAGAUUCUCUGAUCAACCCUCAGGUGAAGUCUUGUUGUGGGGUUAUCAAUGUUACCAUUUUAUUCACAAAAGUAACUAUUGUCCUUGCUAAUUUUCUCUUAUUUAUCUGUUUUCUACUUCUUUGAUUUCUGCUGAUCUUUCUUUCUUCCCUUAAACUUAUUUUGAGUUUAAUUCACCCAUGUUUUCUUAGUUUCAUAAUGUGAAAACAUAUUUUAAAAGAAGAAAUAUUUCAAGUCAGUGAUUUCAGAUUUAAAUCUGUAACUGCCCGAUGGGUUCUUCUUGCACAAACAAAAUCAGUUCACGGAGACUCAAGGCAUUGCCAUAAAAAAAGAGUUUAAUUAACAUGAGACUAGCCACACCAGGUGAGAGACGAAGUUAUUACUCAAAUCAAUCUCACUGAAGGCUUGGAGGUUAGGGGUUCUUCAAAGAUAGUUUGGUGGGCAGGGGGCUAGGCUAUAGGUGCUGCUAAUUGGUUGGGGAUGCAAUGAUGGUGGUAUGAAAUAUGGUCCUCAUGAGCUGAGUUGGCUUCUAGGUGGGGCCACAGAACUGGUUAAGUCACAGGUCCAAAUGGGGCCAUCUGGUUGUUAGAAGUGCAAAACCCUGAAAAGACACUUCAAAAAGCCAAACUUGGGUUCUACAAUAGUAAUGUUAUCUGCAGGAGUAAUUGGGGAAGUUGCAAAUCUUGUGACCUCCGGGAAAAUGGCUGUAAUUGUUUACCUACUUUACAUUGUAGCAGAAUUCCAGCCCCUCUCAUUCUCCUAACCUGAUGACCUUUCAUUAGUUUUACAAGGUCAGUUUAGUUUUAGGGAAGGGCUAUUGUUAUUUAAAAUAUAAACCAAAUUUCUCCCAAAGUUAGCUUGGCCCAUGCCCAGGAAUUAGCAAAAACAGCUAGCCUGUGAGGUUAGAAGUGAGAUGGAAUCAGCCAUGUCAGAUUUUUCUUUCUAUCAUAAUUUUGCAAAGGUGGUUUCGAAGCUAUACAUCUCUCUUAAGUCAGUGCUUUAGCAGAAUCUCUGAAUUUUUGAUAUGUGUUUUAAAAUCACUUUUCUGUAUAAAAUAUUUUCUUAAUGCUUAUAAUUUCCUCUUUGACCUGUGCAUUUUUUACAAGGGGGUAGUUUAAUUUUUAAGCCUUUGGAGACUUCCUAGAUACUUUAUUGUUAUUGAUUUCUAAUUUAAUUUUAUGGUUCUAAAUAAGCUUUUAAAGAUUUCAAUAUUUUGAAAUUAUUUUUAUUUUUAUUUUUUUAUUUUUUUAGUAUUUAUUGAUCAUUCUUGGGUGUUUCUCAGAGAGGGG